Molecule: transfer RNA, 73 nt
Filed under: Vischeria punctata
Lineage: Eukaryota; Eustigmatophyceae; Eustigmatales; Chlorobotryaceae
Also listed under: 2 other names
Description: tRNA-Lys
Rfam family: tRNA
About the family: Transfer RNA (tRNA) molecules are approximately 80 nucleotides in length. Their secondary structure includes four short double-helical elements and three loops (D, anti-codon, and T loops).
Source: RNAcentral
AGGUGUAAAGCUCAGAUGGUUGAGCAGUCGACUUUUAAUCGAUUGGUCUUGAGUUCAAGUCUCAAUACACCUA